GACGAACGCUGGCGGCGUGCCUAAUACAUGCAAGUAGGACGCACAGUUUAUACCGUAGCUUGCUACACCAUAGACUGUGAGUUGCGAACGGGUGAGUAACGCGUAGGUAACCUGCCUAUUAGAGGGGGAUAACUAUUGGAAACGAUAGCUAACACCGCAUAACAGUAUGUAACACAUGUUAGAUGCUUGAAAGAUGCAAUUGCAUCGCUAGUAGAUGGACCUGCGUUGUAUUAGCUAGUAGGUAGGGUAAUGGCCUACCUAGGCGACGAUACAUAGCCGACCUGAGAGGGUGAUCGGCCACACUGGGACUGAGACACGGCCCAGACUCCUACGGGAGGCAGCAGUAGGGAAUCUUCGGGCAAUGGGGGGAACCCUGACCGAGCAACGCCGGCGUGAAGUGAAAGAAGGUUUUCGGGAUCGUAAAGCUC
This 428-nucleotide ribosomal RNA is filed under the name Streptococcus anginosus. RNAcentral's name for it is "bacterial SSU rRNA". It matches the Rfam family "Bacterial small subunit ribosomal RNA", at positions 28 to 433 of the family's 1533-position model. Lineage: Bacteria; Bacillati; Bacillota; Bacilli; Lactobacillales; Streptococcaceae. The record is from RNAcentral.